RNAcentral lists this unclassified non-coding RNA (391 nucleotides) under soil metagenome. RNAcentral describes it as "partial contains 5.8S ribosomal RNA, internal transcribed spacer 2, and large subunit ribosomal RNA". The stretch from base 1 to 122 matches the Rfam family "5.8S ribosomal RNA", at positions 35 to 154 of the family's 154-position model. The record is from RNAcentral.
GAUGAAGAACGUAGCGAAAUGCGAUACUUGGUGUGAAUUGCAGAAUCCCGUGAACCAUCGAGUCUUUGAACGCAAGUUGCGCCCGAAGCCAUUAGGCCGAGGGCACGCCUGCCUGGGCGUCACACGUCGUUGCCCCCCCAUCUACUCCUUCGGGAUUGCGGGGGGCGGAUGAUGGCCUCCCGUGCGCCUCGCCGCGCGGUUGGCAUGAAUGCCAAGUCCUCGGCGACGCACGCCACGACAAUCGGUGGUUGCGAAACCUCGGUUGCCCGUCGUGUGCGGUCGUCGCGCAUCGAGGGCUCGAAAAAAUUGCCGGGUUCCGGCUCGGCUUUCAACGCGACCCCAGGUCAGGCGGGGUUACCCGCUGAAUUUAAGCAUAUCAAUAAGCGGAGGA